Molecule: long non-coding RNA, 235 nt
Organism: Suncus etruscus (white-toothed pygmy shrew)
Lineage: Eukaryota; Metazoa; Chordata; Mammalia; Eulipotyphla; Soricidae
Exons: 3
Source: RefSeq, a predicted model, not a curated record
CUUCCCCGGGCACCUGGGUCCUCGCGAAGCUCAGCUUUCUGGCGUUUCCAGGCGCGAUCAUGGCAAGGGUCUUUCCUGGUGGUGCUCAGCUGAGCCAGAAUUGAAUCAGAGUCAGCUGCUUUGCAAGAUUUCCUUUUUUAUGUGAGCCACACCCUGCUGGCUGGAAUCAGAGAUAUAGGGACUACUACAUUCAAGGUGAUACAUAGCAGAAGUACAAGCUUUGGUGCAGAGUACA